RNAcentral lists this long non-coding RNA (210 nucleotides) under Elaeis guineensis (African oil palm). RNAcentral's name for it is "long non-coding RNA (EGUI_LNC007384)". Lineage: Eukaryota; Viridiplantae; Streptophyta; Magnoliopsida; Arecales; Arecaceae. The record is from RNAcentral.
GAUCCAAACUUCGUUUAGAUUCGCAGGAUGAUCGUUUUUGGAAAAGAAAGAUCAACACUAUAGAGGACUGUUCCAGACUGAUCUUGAGUAGAUACCCAUAGAUGUCAGAUACUUGCAUAGUUAAGGAAGAACCUACUUUCUUUCAGAUCCAGAUUCGAAGAAAGAAACUACAAAACAGAUAUGUGAUUCGAUCACAUAUUUAAUUUCAGC